Molecule: unclassified non-coding RNA, 7250 nt
Filed under: Mizuhopecten yessoensis (Yesso scallop)
Lineage: Eukaryota; Metazoa; Mollusca; Bivalvia; Pectinida; Pectinidae
Description: neuronal membrane glycoprotein M6-a-like, transcript variant X2
Source: RNAcentral
CCUGUCAACAAGCGACUGCAGCGCCACCUGAAAACAGGAAGUGCUAGUGAGGUGAAUCAGUGAUACCUGAGAUAGGUAAAAUUCCUAAUUAGUUACCUGUCUGUGCAAGCCACACCUGAACAAAAUGGGGUGCGAAAGAAUAGGGAAUGUGCCGUUUGCCUCGCUGAUUGCGACAAUGAUAACAUUUACUGGCGUGGGAGUGUUCUGUGGGGCGUUGUACCGGGCCUUGACAUUGGUCAUCACUAACAUUCUGGACGAACUAUUUCAGUUCAACGUUCCUUGGUUGGAGGUGAUAAAGAUAGUAUUCGUGAUCGUGGCUGUGAUUAUGGGAUUGUUUGCUAUUAUCCUACUGGUGUUUGGUUACCUGUCGACUGGAGCAACGAGGAAGAACGUGUACUCUGGGGCCAGAUGUAUUAUGGGAGGCAGAGUGUCUGCUGCCUUUUUCCUGAUCAUGACUUACCUGAUGAACCUGGCCUGGUUAGGUAUUGUGGGCGCAUGUGUGAUUCCUAUUCUCGGCUACAUCAUGAUCAACUCCUACUGCUAUGAGAAAGUCUACAAUAGAGUUGUGGGUACCACCACUGUGGAAUGCUUCAGCCUCACACGAUUUGGUAUCUAUAGGAACUCCACAACGGCAAUAGGAAUAGGAGUACCUGGCCGGGAACAGCUGUGUGCUCACACCGACCUCAGACUCAUGUGUGACAAGGUAGCCGAGGCGGGACCCUUGUUCUGUGUGGCCUGUGCUGGAGCCGCCCUUAUUGUCCUGGGAUUGAUACAUUUCAUGAUAGCCAUAGGGGCCAACUACACACGGAUCAAGAUCUCCAAAGAGUUGACGGAGUACCGCGACGCUGUAGAUAUGGAAGAGCUCGACCUUCACAACAGCCGUGGCUACCUGGACAAGGACAGUAGCUCACGGUGACAACUCACCCCCGGUCCCAGCCGUUACUGAUGCAUGUAUAUAUAUCCUCAUUAGACAUCUUCAUUUUGAAUAAACAUAUUUAUUUUCAUAAAGCAAAUAAAUAAAAGGUCAUUUAACACAUCUACAGAUAUUUAAAAGUCAUUUUAUAGUUGUCUAUAUAAUGUAGAAUUGAAAUCAACAUUGCAUAUAUAUUGCAUGCUUUUCCAGAAACAAAAAUUUGAAAAGGUUUUGGUUUGAGUUACCUCCCUUUGAUAGUGUGUAAUUUUCAUGAAGAUUUUGAAAAUUCUUAUAAGUGAUUACAAAUCAUAUGAAUAAUUAAUAUGAAAUAACACUCAAUCUGGUUUCCAAUCAACAAUUCAGAACAAAAAAUAAUCAAGUGCUUACUUUAAAAUGCAUUGCUUUAAAUAAUGGCUAGUAGUAGUUUAAAAAAGAGGUAUAGUAUAAUUCAGUGUGCAGGUUGGACUGGGGGAGCAGUGGACUAGCUUCUUGUUAUUGUAGUAACCCUGUUACAAAUAGUCCAAGAGAAAUACAGCUGAGCUGGUAAUUACAUGACUUUACGUCCUGUAUCGAACUGCCCUUGUGUCAUUUAGUUAGUUACAUAUUAAAUACACCAGUAAUAUCUGGUUGAUAUGGCCAGACAUUUAGCAUACAGUGGGUGGUGCAGGGAAUAAUGUAAUUGCCUUUACCGAGGCAUCUGGGUUUUUAUUCCCUGAUCAGGCGUAAAAAGGUAUGGCGUGAACUGCCCGACCACAUGGGUUUUUCACAUUUUGUAUAAACUAGAUAUGUUUAAUUACAUAUACAUAUCUACAGUGAUAUUUUGAUUUAUAGAAUUGAGUCUGACAAAAAAUAACACAUUUUAACCUAUAUUAUUUCAGACACACCAAAACCCCACAUAAUAUAUGUUAAAAGUCAAAAAGCCUUAAAGUUUUAUUAAUUAGUAUGUUUCUACCUUAAAAUUUGCUGAUGAAAGACGAUGAUUGCAAUAACAUGUAGUUUUAAUUUGGAAAAAAAUAAAUAUGAAUCUCAGGAAUUUUGAUAUAUAAAUCAAAAGAAACCAUUCUUACUCAUUUGCGUUACAUACCUGGCAUUUGAAUAUAAUACAACAAACUGUUUCGAAACUCUACGCAAGAAAAUAAUCUUCCUCACAGUAUGGAUAUGGUGCAGAAAGACUAUAGUGACAUAUUUACAGACAGUAUAGAAAUGUAUUAACAAUACUGUUUUGUCCUCAAACUGUAUGAAUGCCAGCUCCCUAUUCUAAUGUCUUAGAAAAUAGUAACCAAUGUUGAUGUUAAAUCAAGGAUGGCUUUUAUUUCAUUCGGUUGUGCUUUUCAAGAUUUUGAAUCGUUAGUAAAUUUUUCAGGAUAUCUAUUUUGCUGCCUUUCAUCUACAGUGCAAUUGAGUGUAUGUUUUAUGUGAAAUACAUCUUCAAAGAAUAGAACAGCUUUUUGAAAUAGGUUUUUAUUCAGGGCUAUAUAUUUUAGAAAUAGAUAUGAGGGAAGAGGUAGGAGGUGGCGGCAGUAAAUUUGUGUAACCCCAUCACUCAAAAUUAUUUUUCUGUGAAUUGCGACACAAAUGUUAACCCCCCUUCCCCGACCCUCUCCCUUCACUCAUCAUCACCACAUAUAUCCCUGGUAUGUUCCUAUGAGAAAUAUCCCUAAACAUCAGGUUGGAGUUGUCCCUUGGAUUGCUCUUGGAACGAAAAAAUAUAAACAUACAAAUUAAAAAUGUUAAAAGCUUAAGAUGUAGACAGUAUUGUAAAGAAUCAUAGCAAAAAGUAAAACAAAAAUAUAGAACUCCUGAUUACACCAAAAUAAAAAGAUUGUGACAUUAUUGGAAAUUACUCAUUUCAGGUAAAACAAUUUGAUGUGUCUGUGUUAUAUCUAAAUAUUGACAUAACUGAUACAAACUGGCUAAAUCUAGACGCUAUAGAAAAGGACUUGGAAACAUGCACCUACUCAUAUUUUCAUUAUUGAUGGAAGAUAUAUUUUUUGGCGUAAUUUGUGAGUUAUCUCCCUUCAUCUGUUUCCACCUCCAAGUGUCUCAAUUUUGUUGCCAUUUUCAUAUAUCAAUAUCAAAUAAAGAUGUGCCCUCUAUUGUUAAAUUAAAUAAGUAAUAAAUGUUUUCCUUUCCUUUAAACACACAAAACAUUUUUGAAAUAAACAGAAAUAUGUUGACCACCUUAAUUACCAAAUAUAUUUGCGGUAACACUGCACACAUGCACGGCCAGCAAUCAAAACAAUUGACUUCUGAAAGGAUGUCGCUAAGUCUAUCUAGGGAUGUGUACAUGUAUUUUUAAUUAAAUUAAAAGAAAAACAAUGUGAUAAUCAAUGUACACUGUGUAUUAUAAUUGUUGUUGGCUCAUUAAGGUAUCCUGUUCCACUGCUGACAAAACACUAAUUCCACCAUAGGUUUUUGUAUGCACAGUUACCUCCCCUUAAUUUUGUUUUUGAGUUUUAACUGUAGUGCAACUAGGAUAGGAUACUUCCAUUUACCAUGUAACUCAAUUGGUUAGAGUAUCAGUAUAAUGAUCAGAAGUCCAGGGUUCGAAUCCUGGUCUAGUCCCUUUGUAUUUUGAUAUUCAGAACACUUAUCAAUUUAUUUUUUUGUAAAUACUGUAAGGUUCGUUUCUUUUCAGAAAUGUUUUGUAAAACCUGUUGCCAUGAUGUCCGGAAAAAAAUUCCAAUGCAAAGUUAUUUCCAAACAUUGAUUUUGUCAGUGGUAUAGGAGUUCGUUUAGGGGCUUGUUUUUGCGAGAACCUACAAAAACAUGGAUCUUCACUCAGAUGUAGCCAUAUCAUUGGUGAAAAGGGCUCUAAAUUUGUGCUAAAAACUCUAUGUUGAUGUUAGCUCAGAUAGGUUCUUAUUCGGAUUGAAACAUGUCGCCUGGUAAGAUAAGUCUCUACUUUCUGAAUUAUCAGAAAGAGCCCAUGUAGGUCAAAGUGCGGGAAGGUCUUGUAUUUGUGUGUGAUUGGUUUGCAUUGCUGUUUGAUCAGAAAGGCCAAUAUGAUGUGCUCAUUAAGAACUCAUGUCUGUGUGUUUAGAAAGGGCUCAUAUUUCUUUCUUUUUUUAAAGAGCUCUAUCUGAUGUAUGCUCAGAAAGCGCCCAUGUUAGUGUAUGCUGACAAAACAUAUAUUGACAUUAAAAAUAUUCUUAGUUUGUUUUGUGAUUAUAAUGUUCUGGUAUUGAUGUGUGCUACAAAGAGCUCUUGUAGUUCUGAUUAAAAUUGUUUGCCUUUAUAUUGCCAUAUUGUGUGUUGUGAAAGAUGUAUGAAGGUGUUUAUUUGGUCAACCAGGCAUUGUAGUUUGUUUUAAUUACGCUAUCUGUAAAUACGUGUACGUUCCUUAUUCUAUUAACUGGAUGUAUACCUGUGAAAGUCAAGAAUGAAUAACCAAACUAUGAAUGGUUGGUCUCUCAUGACAGGUUCUACUUUGGUGACAGAAGCUGAGGUCUCUUCAGACAGGUUUUUCUGUAGUGACAGAAGCUGAGGUCUCUUCAGACAGGUUCUUCUGUAGUGACAGAGAGGUUGGUCUCUUCAGACAGGUUCUUAUGUAGUGACAGAGAGGUUGGUCUCCUCAGACAGGUUCUUCUGUAGUGACAGAGAGGUUGGUCUCCUCAGACAGGUUCUUCUGUAGUGACAGAGAGGUUGGUCUCUUCAGACAGGUUCUUCUGUAGUGACAGAGAGGUUGGUCUCCUCAGACAGGUUCUUCUGUAGUGACAGAGAGGUUGGUCUCCUCAGACAGGUUCUUCUGUAGUGACAGAGAGGUUGGUCUCCUCAGACAGGUUCUUCUGUAGUGACAGAGAGGUUGGUCUCCUCAGACAGGUUCUUCUGUAGUGACAGAGAGGUUGGUCUCCUCAGACAGGUUCUUCUGUAGUGACAGAGAGGUUGGUCUCCUCAGACAGGUUCUUCUGUAGUGACAGAGAGGUUGGUCUCCUCAGACAGGUUCUUCUGUAGUGACAGAGAGGUUGGUCUCCUCAGACAGGUUCUUCUGUAGUGACAGAGAGGUUGGUCUCCUCAGACAGGUUCUUCUGUAGUGACAGAGAGGUUGGUCUCCUCAGACAGGUUCUUCUGUAGUGACAGAGAGGUUGGUCUCCUCAGACAGGUUCUUCUGUAGUGACAGAGAGGUUGGUCUCCUCAGACAGGUUCUUCUGUAGUGACAGAGAGGUUGGUCUCCUCAGACAGGUUCUUCUGUAGUGACAGAGAGGUUGGUCUCCUCAGACAGGUUCUUCUGUAGUGACAGAGAGGUUGGUCUCCUCAGACAGGUUCUUCUGUAGUGACAGAGAGGUUGGUCUCCUCAGACAGGUUCUUCUGUAGUGACAGAGAGGUUGGUCUCCUCAGACAGGUUCUUCUGUAGUGACAGAGAGGUUGGUCUCCUCAGACAGGUUCUUCUGUAGUGACAGAGAGGUUGGUCUCUUCAGACAGGUUCUUCUGUAGUGACAGAGAGGUUGGUCUCCUCAGACAGGUUCUUCUGUAGUGACAGAGAGGUUGGUCUCCUCAGACAGGUUCUUCUGUAGUGACAGAGAGGUUGGUCUCCUCAGACAGGUUCUUCUGUAGUGACAGAGAGGUUGGUCUCUUCAGACAGGUUCUUCUGUAGUGACAGAGAGGUUGGUCUCCUCAGACAGGUUCUUCUGUAGUGACAGAGAGGUUGGUCUCUUCAGACAGGUUCUUCUGUAGUGACAGAGAGGUUGGUCUCCUCAGACAGGUUCUUCUGUAGUGACAGAGAGGUUGGUCUCUUCAGACAGGUUCUUCUGUAGUGACAGAGAGGUUGGUCUCCUCAGACAGGUUCUUCUGUAGUGACAGAGAGGUUGGUCUCUUCAGACAGGUUCUUCUGUAGUGACAGAGAGGUUGGUCUCCUCAGACAGGUUCUUCUGUAGUGACAGAGAGGUUGGUCUCUUCAGACAGGUUCUUCUGUAGUGACAGAGAGGUUGGUCUCCUCAGACAGGUUCUUCUGUAGUGACAGAGAGGUUGGUCUCUUCAGACAGGUUCUUCUGUAGUGACAGAGAGGUUGGUCUCCUCAGACAGGUUCUUCUGUAGUGACAGAGAGGUUGGUCUCUUCAGACAGGUUCUUCUGUAGUGACAGAGAGGUUGGUCUCCUCAGACAGGUUCUUCUGUAGUGACAGAGAGGUUGGUCUCUUCAGACAGGUUCUUCUGUAGUGACAGAGAGGUUGGUCUCCUCAGACAGGUUCUUCUGUAGUGACAGAGAGGUUGGUCUCUUCAGACAGGUUUUCCUGUAGUGACAGAGAGGUUGGUCUCCUCAGACAGGUUCUUCUGUAGUGACAGAGAGGUUGGUCUCUUCAGACAGGUUCUAUUGAGUAUUGUUUAAGCAAAACUGAAUUGAAAAUUAAUGGAAAGUUAACAUUAACCAUACUUAAUUUUAUUAUCAAUGGUUUUCAUAUAGAUUAUGACUUUGUAUUUUGUCAUGGCCGUUUUCUUCUUUUACUAAUCUUUUUUCAUUUUAUUUUAUUUUAAAAGAUAUAUAGCUACUGUACAUUACUUAUUAUACAAAAGUGUUUAAAAAAUUAUGUUUAGACAUUAGGUCUGUUAAUAUUUGAAAAAUCUGCAAAUGUGUAAAAGAUAUAUAAUAAAGAAGCUGUUUGUUCCAGAUAUUUUCUGUUGUGAGGAGGGCAAAUAUUCUUUGGAUAUCAUAAGCUACAUCAUAUAAUGUAGCUCUAUAUACAAUGACCAAUACUUAUAGUUCUAUAGCAUGCCACUGUCUGUUGGUAGCAAGUUGUAUAUCAAAAUAAGUUAUAGAAUAUGUGAAAGUAAUUGUGUACAUGUUUUUGAAAACUCCCACCCGACAAAUUCUGCUUAUGUUAAUUUCCCUGUAAGAAAAAUGUUUUCGGUGAUUGACAUGCUCACUGUGCCUAAGUAUACUGUACAUGUUACUUGUACAUGUACCUGUAAUCAUAAGGUGUUAAUUCACUGGACUUCACCUGCUUAAUUAUGUGGCUCAAAUAAAACUGUGGUAACUUAUAGUAUGUUUUAGCUGUAUAGCACCUACAUUUUAGCAUUGUUAUCGUUUUAAGGUUUAUCUUGUAAAGUCAUAAAUGUGACUUUGAUUGUUAGAUCAAUUAACCACUUGCAUUUCAAAGUGAAGGAUAUUACUUGUUUUCCUGUGCGUUCUUUAAGUUCUUUCUGAAUUCUUGCUUCAUAAUUACACAUUAGCGUUAUUAAAAUCCAUUCCCUUUAAACGGCAGCAAAUAUUUUACCUCCAGUUAUAGAGGAGGUCUGAAUUGUGUCUUCAAAGGUAUAUUGUGGUUAGGAUUAUCUUUUUUAUCUGUGAAUGAAUAUAUUUUAUACCUAUGUUAAUAUGAUGCAAAAAUGUAAAAAAAAAAAA